UACGUAGGGUGCGAGCGUUAAUCGGAAUUACUGGGCGUAAAGCGCGUGUAGGCGGCUUGGCAAGUCGGAUGUGAAAGCCCACGGCUCAACCGUGGAAGCGCAUCCGAAACUGCUUCGCUCGAGUCUCGGAGAGGAAGGUGGAAUGCUUGGUGUAGAGGUGAAAUUCGUAGAUAUCAAGCAGAACACCUGCGGCGAAGGCGGCCUUCUGGACGAUGACUGACGCUGAGACGCGAAAGCGUGGGGAGCAAACAGG
Molecule: ribosomal RNA, 253 nt
Filed under: uncultured bacterium
Lineage: Bacteria
Description: partial 16S ribosomal RNA
Rfam family: Bacterial small subunit ribosomal RNA
Source: RNAcentral